GAUGAACGCUGGCGGCGCGCCUAACACAUGCAAGUCGAACGGCACCCCUCCUCGGAGGGAAGCGAGUGGCGACCGGCUGAGUAACACGUGGAGAACCUGCCCCCUCCCCCGGGAUAGCCGCCCGAAAGGACGGGUAAUACCGGAUACCCCGGGGUGCCGCAUGGCACCCCGGCUAAAGCCCCGACGGGAGGGGAUGGCUCCGCGGCCCAUCAGGUAGACGGCGGGGUGACGGCCCACCGUGCCGACAACGGGUAGCCGGGUUGAGAGACCGACCGGCCAGAUUGGGACUGAGACACGGCCCAGACUCCUACGGGAGACAGCAGUGGGGAAUCUUGCGCAAUGGGGGGAACCCUGACGCAGCGACGCCGCGUGCGGGACGGAGGCCUUCGGGUCGUAAACCGCUUUCAGCAGGGAAGAGUCAAGACUGUACCUGCAGAAGAAGCCCCGGCUAACUACGUG
Molecule: ribosomal RNA, 459 nt
Filed under: uncultured bacterium
Lineage: Bacteria
Description: partial 16S ribosomal RNA
Rfam family: Bacterial small subunit ribosomal RNA
Source: RNAcentral